CCCAAGAAAAAGCAAAAAAAACACAAAAACUCAUCAGACUACUAGUAAAGAGAAGUAUCAGCAAGGUCUCGUCCUUUUGGUCGCACGUCUGAAUCACCAUUUUCAUCAUCAAAGACCUCUCUUUGUUCCCGUGACAGAUCCUUCUUAACCAAAAUACUUCACCGACCCAUGCCUUUUAUUUCACCCAAUUUCUACUCCUGGGUUCCUUAAUUACGUUCCCAGGUUCGACCUUCUUCUCCGGACAAUCUGAAUAUAUCAAAAUUUGUUGUUUUCUUCAGACAUUGCUUACUCCAGAGCAAGCUAAGCUAUUUAAGACUCUUCAUUACAUGUCGGAAACUUCGGCUCCGGCUUGUCUUUCAGGUUGUGUGUUGUGGAGAUAGGAUCUUGGAACAAAGAUGAGGAUGAUGAAGAACAAACACAACAAGAAACCAACGUCUUUGCGUUGUUCACCUUUCACUUUAGUCUCAGCAGUUGUGGGAUGUGUUUUCAUGAUUCACCUAACCAUGUUAUAUUACAGCAGAAGAUAUAGUGUAGUAGAUCCUGAAGUCUCACCUCAGCUACUACUAAUCCACCAUCCCAUUGUCCGUGAGCUCGAACGUGUUGAAGAAGAGA
Molecule: non-coding RNA, 612 nt
Organism: Camelina sativa (false flax)
Lineage: Eukaryota; Viridiplantae; Streptophyta; Magnoliopsida; Brassicales; Brassicaceae
Source: RefSeq, a predicted model, not a curated record